Molecule: ribosomal RNA, 493 nt
Filed under: uncultured bacterium
Lineage: Bacteria
Description: partial 16S ribosomal RNA
Rfam family: Bacterial small subunit ribosomal RNA
Source: RNAcentral
GACGAACGCUGGCGGCGUGCUUAACACAUGCAAGUCGAACGGUGAAGCACCUUCCUUUUGGUGGGUGUGGAUGAGUGGCGAACGGGUGAGUAACACGUGAGUAACCUGCCCCCUUCUUCUGGAUAACCGCAUGAAAGUGUGGCUAAUACGGGAUAUUCUGGGUCUGUCGCAUGGCGGGCCUGGGAAAGAUAUUGUUUCGGUGGGGGAUGGGCUCGCGGUCUAUCAGCUUGUUGGUGGGGUGAUGGCCUACCAAGGCGGUGACGGGUAGCCGGCCUGAGAGGGUGGACGGUCACACGGGGACUGAGACACGGCCCAGACUCCUACGGGAGGCAGCAGGGGGGAAUAUUGCACAAUGGGCGCAAGCCUGAUGCAGCGACGCCGCGUGAGGGAUGGAGGCCUUCGGGUUGUAAACCUCUUUCGCCAGUGAAGCAGGCCUGUCCCUUUUGUGGGUGGGUUGACGGUAGCUGGAUAAGAAGCGCCGGCUAACUACGUG